CUGCACGAACCGCCCGCUCCCCUUCCUUAUCUUCUUCUGCGCAAGCACAACCACCAGUUAGUUAUCCCCUCGUUUUCCUACUUUUUCUUCAUGCACCGCUUCUUUUUUCCCCAAGCUCGCUGAUCUCGCCAUGGCUGCCAAUUUUUUCUGCUGCGCGAGAGAGCACCCACCAGAGGGGCGCCGCCGUUAGGGGCUGUCGCUGCUCGCACCAAUCAAGGGUUGCAGCCACGAUGCCGUCCCGUCGUUGUUGCGGAGCCAAGAACGGGGGCGCGGUGCCCCGGGGCUGCCAUUGAUGCAAGCCAAGCACAAGAGAUGCGACGGCCAUGGAGGGGAUGUUGGAUGCGUGUUGCAACCGGCUGGCAGAGGAGCUGGGACCGGCGAGGCGAGAAGCUGCAAGCACUUUUCGACCGGUUCUGGAACCAGACGGUGCGAGAUCAUUUUUGCGGGGACCGGCGACAAUUUUUGCUGAAACCGGUAAGAGUUUUUGCUGGCACUGUCAAGAUAUUUUGUUGCGAUCGGCGGAGAUGACACAUUUUUGCUGGAACUAUAUUAAUUUUUGCUGGAACCGGCAAAUGAUUUUGCUGCGGCGGCGACUUCUGGAGAUUUUGGUUGCUUGAGAUUAUUUGCUGUGACUAGGCAGCCUCGAAGCAUUUUUGCUAGAACCGGCAAAUGAUUUUGCUACGGUGGCAACUUCCGGAGUUUUUUGUUGCUUGAGAUUAUUUGUUACGACUUGGCGGCGGCGACGCAUUUUGUGCUGGAAUCGUGUAAAUUUUUAGCUUCAAGCGAUUUACUGAGUUUGCUAGUUGCUCAGGCCAUUUUGCUGGAAAUUGCUAUUUUUUUUGCUGGAACCAGUUUUUGGCUUUGCUGGAACUGACGACUGGAGUUCUUUUUUUGUUGAGAUGUGUUUUUCGCUUGAAUCCGGUGGUGCAGGUCGGCGGUGGCGGCAAUCCAAAGGUGGAAACGCUGUGCUACAGUGGGCAGCGCGGGUUGCUGGAACCGAAGUUUGAUAGAGCUGCAUCCAUGGUGGUGGUGAUGGAAUGACGACGAGGCAAGGAAGGCGUGUGACGACGGCGAAUCGGCGGAGAGGCGGAGAUCUGGCGGGUCAGGUCGCUCGUCCAUGGCUUUCGCGCCCGCUGUGUGUGCUCGCAUGAUUUGCAGUGGGGAAAAAGAAAGGAAAGGUGUGCCAGGGAUGAAAAGUGUUUUGAAUCUGAUGGUUAAAGGGGCAUUAAUCGAACGUCGACCGACCCAAAUUUGAGCUGGCGCACCGGCCCUAUGAGUCGCCAAUAGGAAUUGCCAUUUGGCGCAUAGAUCACGGGAUAGCGUCAUGACACGUACCAUUAUGUUUUUUUCAUCAGUUUUGGCAAGGUAGCAGAACCUUCUUGAAUCAGUUUUUUUCUCCUUUUAUUUGUUUUUUCUUCUGGGUUUUUAUUUCUUUUAACUUUUUCAUUUUCAUUUUCAUUUUAGUUUCCUAUUCCGUUUUCCUUUUUCUUUCUUUCUUGUCUUUUUAUUCCGUUUUCUAUUCCAUUUCUUGAAUCAGCUAUAAAUUACAUUUCUGAAGGUUGCUCUUAAAAAUUCAAAUGAACACAUGUAUUUUAUAAUUUUAUUGCUUUUUAAUUGUUUUGCGAAGUGUCUUAUAAUAAACACUCAUCAAAGAACCU
Molecule: long non-coding RNA, 1658 nt
Filed under: Triticum aestivum (bread wheat)
Lineage: Eukaryota; Viridiplantae; Streptophyta; Magnoliopsida; Poales; Poaceae
Description: long non-coding RNA (TAES_LNC021685)
Source: RNAcentral